Molecule: long non-coding RNA, 345 nt
Organism: Neofelis nebulosa (Clouded leopard)
Lineage: Eukaryota; Metazoa; Chordata; Mammalia; Carnivora; Felidae
Exons: 2
Source: RefSeq, a predicted model, not a curated record
CCUCAGUUUCCUUUGGGAGAGACAAUCACAUCUUUGAAAUGAUGGUUGUCUGUCACUACAAAUGACCCCUUGAUGAAUGAAAGCUGAAUGGUGGUGGGAACUUCGUCCUCAGUGCUAGCACUGAGCCUACCACAUGGUUGCCAGGGAUGCCAUGGAAGGUUGUAAAGGUUGUUCACUGCAUCAGAGCUCCUGGCUGGGGAGUGGGCGCUGACAUCUGCCCUGUUCUCUGCUCUCUAUGCACUGGGGGCAUCCAGCAAGUUGCCUUCUGCUAUUUUGCAAUGUGUGCUGUAUGGGCUGGUUGUGGCUCUGUGAUGGGUGUUCAAUAAAUAUUCAUUGAAUACAUGA